RNAcentral lists this ribosomal RNA (622 nucleotides) under Glaciozyma martinii. RNAcentral's name for it is "eukaryotic LSU rRNA". It matches the Rfam family "Eukaryotic large subunit ribosomal RNA", at positions 47 to 663 of the family's 3401-position model. The record is from RNAcentral. Lineage: Eukaryota; Fungi; Basidiomycota; Microbotryomycetes; Kriegeriales; Camptobasidiaceae.
UAAGCGGAGGAAAAGAAACUAACAAGGAUUCCCCUAGUAACGGCGAGUGAAGCGGGAAGAGCUCAAAUUUGUAAUCUGGCCCUUUCAGGGUCCGAGUUGUAAUCUCGAGAAGUGUUUUCCGCGUCGGACUGCAUACAAGUCUAUUGGAAUAUAGCGUCAUAGUGGUGAGAGCCCCGUAACUGAUGCAGAUGCCCGAUGCUUUGUGAUACACUUUCGAAGAGUCGAGUUGUUUGGGAAUGCAGCUCAAAUUGGGUGGUAAAUUCCAUCUAAAGCUAAAUAUUGGCGAGAGACCGAUAGCGAACAAGUACCGUGAGGGAAAGAUGAAAAGCACUUUGGAAAGAGAGUUAACAGUACGUGAAAUUGUUGGAAGGGAAACGCUUGAAAUCAGACUUGCUAUUCGGAAUUCAGCCGCAAGGUGUACUUUUCGAUUUGCAGGCCAGCAUCAGUUUUUGGGGGUGGAAAAGGGUGGAGAGAAGGUAGCAACCCCGGUUGUGUUAUAGCUCUUCACUGGAUUCAUCUUUGGGGACUGAGGAUCGCAGUGCGCAUUUAUUUGCAAACCACUUGAGGUUUUCGUACUUAGGAUGCUGGUGGAAUGGUUUUAAACGACCCGUCUUGAAACACG